GACGAACGCUGGCGGCGUGCUUAACACAUGCAAGUCGAACGGAAAGGCCCUGCUUGCCUGGUCCUCGCGUGGCGAACGGGUGAGUAACACGCGUGUGUUCUGCCCUUCACUUCGGGAUAAGCCUGGGAAACUGGGUCUAAUAUCGGACAGAAGCCAUUUUUAUUCUGAUGGUUUGAAAGUUUUUUCGGUGUAGGCUGGGUGCGCGUGCUAUCAGCUUGUUGGUGGUGGAAUGGCCUACCAAGGCGGCGACGGGUAGCCGGCCUUGGAGGGUGGACGGGCACAUUGGGACUGAGAGACGGAGCAGACGCCUACGGGAGGCAGCAGUGGGGAAUAUUGCACAAUGGGCGCGAGCCAGAUGCAGCGACGCCGCGAGGGGGAUGACGGGCUUCGGGUUGAAAACUCCUUUCGCUAGGGACGAAGCUUUUUGUGACGGUACCUAGACAAGAAGCAACGGCUAACUACGUG
RNAcentral lists this ribosomal RNA (465 nucleotides) under uncultured bacterium. Its description in RNAcentral is "partial 16S ribosomal RNA". It matches the Rfam family "Bacterial small subunit ribosomal RNA", at positions 28 to 507 of the family's 1533-position model. The record is from RNAcentral.